UAUAAUCUUAGUAUGUAAAGAGCAGUUGUCAAUUUUAAGUUCUAUAGAGCAUAGUUAAUGAUUACGUGUUAUUUACUUCAAAAGAAUAACUUGUGAAGAACAUGUUUCUUAAUGAACAAGAAAUACUUCAAAUAGGAGCUAUGUCCUUCUAGGGUUUACCAUGAUUCCCAAUUUAGUUCCCUAGAUAGGUAUUAGAAUUUUUAAUACUAGGUUUAGGUACGGUAUUACCCAACGGUAGUAGUUGAGUUCUUAACAUAUACUACUUUAGGAUUAAGGUUCCGAAGUGUAUCAUAUAAGUAUUUGAAGUGGCUCUAAGGGUUUAAAGUAAAGGCUUAAUUAUAAGGGAAAUACAUGGUUUAAGAGUUAAUUGAGAGUAAUAGGUGACUCUAGGUAUAGUUAACCUUUAGUAAUGUCAAACUCUAGGGUUUUAUCUAUUAUGGUUAAGGAAUUUAUUUUUAUAAGAUUUUAAGCACCUCCUAAGAGGUACUAAAUGGUUUUGGAUUUAAUUAAUUGAUUUAAGUUAAAAAAUCUUCAUUAAAAAUACAAGCAUGUGAUAGAAUAUUAUUUAGAAUUAGUUAAUUUUUCUUUACUUGAUAUGUUUUGUUUAAAGAAAAACUAAGGUUUAUUUAGUUUAUCAUGUUCAAAUCAUAAUGAUAAUUUUUUUAUUAGAUUAUUAAGGUUGAAAUAAUAUUUCAAGCAUUUAGAGAUUCUAUUUGAGAUUUGUAGGUAUUACUAAUUAUUUUUGUAGGACUUUAAAGUAAUCUUAUAUCUUUACAUCAUAUUCAAACACUUAUACAAGGUUAGUGAAUAAUUUUUAUUUAAUGAGUAUAUAUUAAACAGAUGCAACUGUGUAUAUGUAUUAAAACUAAACACAAGCAUUCAAUAGUGUUACACGCAUGUACACAUAUUAGUAGGUUAGUUAUAAUUUGGAUGGAGCUAAUGGGUUAGUUGAUCGAUAGAUUUAAUUGGGCGAUUAUCACACAGCGAUUUACUAGUAGUACUAGUCUAACGGACUAGGGUCAAACCCAAACGCACUCACGAAGCCAACACACGCACGCUAGGCUGGACCAGCACCGCACGCACGCGCACGGCCUCGCGCGAUCCCCUUCCUCGUGACGUGCCUGUGCCGUCGUCUGUCGUCGCCCCGGUCGCUGCCGGCCGUCGCCGAACCCGUCCUCCGCCGCUGACCGUCGACUCUGCUCCGCCAUGGUAUCUCUCCUCCUUCCUCUUCGGAGUAGCCUUCUUUCUUACUCGUGCCCACGGCUAACCCUAGUCCGCGGGUUGGCAAGGUCAACGUUGUGUCGCUACUCGCCUCCGGCCGCCUCCGACGCCGGCGAGGCAUUUUUCUGGCUCCCCUCGACGUGAUCUACCACCUCCCCCUCUUCGAUUUGAUUCCCCAGCUCCACUGGUGCGCCCCACGCCUGCGCAUAGCCGACGCACGCGCUGCUGUACGGCUCUGCCGGUCACAUCCACUGCCGCCGUCGGAUGGCCCAGUACUUCCAUGAACUCCUCCGCCAACACCCGCCGUCACGACGCCGUCCUGCGCUCACACACGGCCCUGUGGCUAACCCUAGCUUGCUUCGGCUAGGUCGCCGACACGGCGCUCGCGCUCCCGCGCCUCCGGCUAUCUCUCCUUGGCGAACUGGACCUCCUCUUUGAGCGCCCCGAUCGAGCCCCAGCUCGGCUCUGCCAUGCCCGGCUGCUCUGGUUCCUCAAAUGGUGGUGUCCUAGUGGUGUGCUGUUGGGGAUGGUGUUGUGGUGAAGGUGGUUGGUGGCGUAUUGGUGAUGGCGUGCUUGUGGUCAUGCUGUGAUCCGGCUGUGAAAUGUUGUGCUCGACACCGAUGGACGGCGCUGCAAACGCAACCUCGGUGUCGACUACCACUUCUCCGCGACAACACUAUAAAGGAUAAGAAAAUUGGGAAGAUUUGGAUUAUGAAGAUUUAGUUUAGAAAUCUCUUGUAUUCUUUUAUAAUUUUCUAUUUCUUUUCUAACUUGUAAUUUAUUGAAUAAUGUUAUUUGUAAUAAAGUUUGAAUUAUUUAUUCAUUUGGAA
Lolium perenne is the source of this 2051-nucleotide long non-coding RNA. RefSeq lists it as uncharacterized. The record is from RefSeq and is a predicted model, not a curated record. NCBI's taxonomy places the organism in Eukaryota, Viridiplantae, Streptophyta, Magnoliopsida, Poales, Poaceae.